RNAcentral lists this long non-coding RNA (507 nucleotides) under Nicotiana benthamiana. RNAcentral's name for it is "long non-coding RNA (NBEN_LNC010030)". The record is from RNAcentral. Lineage: Eukaryota; Viridiplantae; Streptophyta; Magnoliopsida; Solanales; Solanaceae.
UUAAUUAUUUGAGCUCCUUGCAAUACUUCUGCAUACAUUGGAUUGGAGUAUGCAGAGCAGGGAGGGGAUGAGAUGCAGCUCUGCAUUCCAUGUACAAAGUGUACAUUCUUUGAGUCAGCCCAAAAUUUUGUCGAUUAGGGGUAGUUCCCUUUUCCCUCUUUAUUUUGUUUCAUUUUCUUCUCGUGAUAAUUCUAGACAGGCAAUUAUAUUCUUGGACGCCAUUAACAUAGAAUAGUUUAUAGCGGAGCACAGUUGUGGGAUGGAGCUGAUGAUGCCCCCCCGUCAGGAUAGCUGAGAUAUUGUAAAUUGGAUUAUGUACAUACAUUCAACUUUUCUAAAUUAAUGCAAUCGAGAUGAAUAUCGGUUUCAUUAUGAAACUAUGACCCGUGCUUUCUUCUAUUUUUCUGUUAACGAUGGAGCUGAUGAUGCUCCCCCGUUAGGAUAGCUGAGAUAUUGUAAAUUGGAUUAUGUACAUACAUUCAACUUUUCUAAAUUAAUGCAAUCGAG